AAAGAUUACCAUAAAACAUCUUCUAACACUUAAAUAAACACAUAAACACAAACUUUACCUUAGCAUACAAGAUCAAAUGGUGAGUUAGGGUUUAUACCUCUCUUGUCCAAUCCUUGAUCUUUGAUCUCCUUAACUGAUUUUGGUGUUCUAAGGGGUUAUCUAGUGACUGAAUCACUCAAGAAAUUCGGAGGUUUUGGAGAGAGAAAUGUAAGUUGAG
Molecule: long non-coding RNA, 217 nt
Filed under: Panax ginseng (ginseng)
Lineage: Eukaryota; Viridiplantae; Streptophyta; Magnoliopsida; Apiales; Araliaceae
Description: long non-coding RNA (PGIN_LNC006699)
Source: RNAcentral